AGAGUUUGAUCCUGGCUCAGAACGAACGCUGGCGGCGUGGCUAAGACAUGCAAGUCGAACGGACUAUGCUUUUAGUAUAGUUAGUGGCGAAAGGGUGAGGAAUAGGUAGGUAACGUACCGUUUGUUUCAGGAUAGCGUCUGGAUGCUUGCAUCCUUCCGAAAGGGGCAUUAAUACUGAAUAAAGUCAUAGUUUUAAUGAUUAUGACCAAAGAUUUAUCGACGAACGAGCGGCCUAUCUCCUAUCAGCUUGUUGGUGAGGUAAUGGCUCACCAAGGCGACGACGGGUAGCGGGACUGAGAGGUUGACCCGCCACAUCGGGACUGAGACACUGCCCGGACCUCCACGGAGGGCUGCAGUAACGAAUAUUGUGCAAUGAGCGAAAGCUUGACACAGCGACGCCGCGUGUAGGAUGAAGCCUCUCGGGGUGUAAACUACUGUCAGGGGAAAGAAAGUGCGCUUCGGCGUAUUGAUCUACCCCAGAGGAAGUCACGGCUAACUACGUGCCAGCAGCCGCGGUAAUACGUAGGUGGCAAGCGUUGUUCGGAAUCACUGGGCUUAAAGCGUGUGUAGGCGGAAUAGAAAGUGUCUUGUGAAAUCCCUCGGCUUAACCGAGGAAUUGCUCGGCAAACUACUAUUCUUGAGGCAAGCAGGGGUGUGUGGAACUCUUGGUGGAGCGGUGGGAUGCGUAGAUAUCAAGAGGAACGCCAAUGGUGAAGACAGCACACUGGGCUUGUUCUGACGCUGAGACACGAAAGCGUGGGGAGCGAACGGGAUUAGAUACCCCGGUAGUCCACGCCGUAAACGAUGUCUACUAGGUGUUGGGAACUCUGAUGUUCUCAAGACCGGAGCAAAAGUGUUAAGUAGACCGCCUGGGGAGUACGGUCGCAAGGCUAAAACUCAAAGGAAUUGACGGGGGCUCACACAAGCGGUGGAGCAUGUGGAUUAAUUCGAAGCAACGCGCAGAACCUUACCUGGGUUUGACAUGUCUGGAUGCCUAUCUGGAAACAGAGUCGGCUGCCCUUCGGGGUGAAACUUGCACAGGUGCUGCAUGGCUGUCGUCAGCUCGUGUCGUGAGAUGUCGGGUUAAGUCCUUUAACGAGCGAAACCCCUACCGUUAGUUGCCAGCGCGUCAUGGCGGGGACUCUAACGGGACUGCCGGUGUUAAACCGGAGGAAGGUGGGGAUGACGUCAAGUCCUCAUGGCCUUUAUGCCCAGGGCCUCACACGUGCUACAAUGGUGACUACAGAGCGACGCAAUACCGCGAGGUGGAGCAAAUCGCACAAAAGUCAUCUCAGUCCGGAUUGUAGGCUGUCAACUCGCCUACAUGAAGUUGGAAUCGCUAGUAAUCGCGUAUCAGCCAUGACGCGGUGAAUGUGUUCCUGAGCCUUGUACACACCGCCCGUCAAGUGAUGGGAGCCGGGAGUACCCGAAGUCGGGUUGCCAACCUUUUAGGGGGCGCCUGCCUACGGUAAGUUCGGUGACUGGCACUAAGUCGUAACAAGGUA
Molecule: ribosomal RNA, 1505 nt
Filed under: metagenome
Description: bacterial SSU rRNA
Rfam family: Bacterial small subunit ribosomal RNA
Source: RNAcentral